CGAGGAAUGCUCCUAGGCUUGCUAACAGCCUUCCUGGAGCUGGAGGAGAGUGUCGAAGGCUUUUCAUCUUCGGACGACGAGCAACUUUGGUGCUCAAAAGCACAAGGGCCGCUUUUGGCUUUCAUAUAAGACUGACUUGAUGGAGUAUCAGUACUUCUACUUAAAGACCUUGCACACCUGAUCAAUCAUAUUAAUUAAGGAGAUCAUAUAUAAAUACGGUCUAGUUUAUCUAGACAAAAUAUUAAUGAGUUGUACAGUAAAAUCCAUCAAUGUUUUGUCUUGGUAAAUUAGACAGUAUUUGUCUAGUUACCCAGCAUUGCUAAAAGAAAUUAAGUGCUAACAAAAAUACAGUAGUAAUAAUAUUUAUUUAUUUAUGGGGAUUGAGUUUUGGUACUACAUAUAUGAGAAGUAGUCCCUCCGGUAAGGCACAUCCACAGGGGAAUUUGUUGGAGUUGUAGAUGGAUUCUCUGAGUUGCUGUUCAAAGGCUUUAUCUCAUCUCUAAU
Molecule: long non-coding RNA, 504 nt
Filed under: Panax ginseng (ginseng)
Lineage: Eukaryota; Viridiplantae; Streptophyta; Magnoliopsida; Apiales; Araliaceae
Description: long non-coding RNA (PGIN_LNC009764)
Source: RNAcentral